CCUACGGGAGGCAGCAGUGGGGAAUAUUGCACAAUGGGGGAAACCCUGAUGCAGCGACGCCGCGUGAAGGAAGAAGUAUUUCGGUAUGUAAACUUCUAUCAGCAGGGAAGAAAAUGACGGUACCUGACUAAGAAGCCCCGGCUAACUACGUGCCAGCAGCCGCGGUACUACGUAGGGGGCAAGCGUUAUCCGGAUUUACUGGGUGUAAAGGGAGCGUAGGCGGUUCAGCAAGUCAGAAGUGAAAGCCCGGGGCUCAACUCCGGGACUGCUUUUGAUACUGUUGAACUAGAUUGCAGGAGAGGUAAGUGGAAUUCCUGGUGUAGCGGUGAAAUGCGUAGAUAUUAGACGGAACACCAGUGGCGAAGGCGGCUUACUGGACUGUAAAUGACGCUGAGGCUCGAAAGCGUGGGGAGCAAACAGGAUUAGAUACCCCGGUAGUC
RNAcentral lists this ribosomal RNA (440 nucleotides) under uncultured bacterium. RNAcentral's name for it is "partial 16S ribosomal RNA". It matches the Rfam family "Bacterial small subunit ribosomal RNA", at positions 338 to 795 of the family's 1533-position model. The record is from RNAcentral.